Molecule: long non-coding RNA, 234 nt
Filed under: Gossypium raimondii (Peruvian cotton)
Lineage: Eukaryota; Viridiplantae; Streptophyta; Magnoliopsida; Malvales; Malvaceae
Description: long non-coding RNA (GRAI_LNC006888)
Source: RNAcentral
GUGACUUUGUGACGAGAAGCCAGCCUUUAUUAGAGAACCUAACUUCACAUCCUUCAAAUUCCGGAAUAGUAAUGCUAUACGUCAAGUUGGUAACGGGAUCAUAAAAUCUCCUCCUUGCCGAAACAAAAGCCAUGGAUAUGUGUACGGAACACCUUCUUUAUUCACCCUCCACUCCAGGGGAUGGAUCAAACUUCUCCAAAUUUUGGAUGCUGCUCGAUAAUUGAUUUGAGCGGC